GGAGAGGAUGACAAAUUGUUGGUUAUAUUAAAGCUAUAUUUAUUAUUUAAUCAUAUUUGGCAUUUUAAUUUCAUUAAAUGGAUGUUCUUUGUAUUAGAUGUUUUCUAUGUGAGAAAUAAAUUUCAUUUUGUUGUUUUAUCAUAGUUUUUUUAUUCUUUUAAUUUAGAGUCCAAAGCUCGUAGUGCUAUGGAACCUUAUUGUUUUUCGUAGGAUUUGUUUUUAUUUUUCUUCCCUAAAUCUGAAUGGGCAGCCUAAACUGUAAGACCUUGGCCGACCAAAUUCGGCAGGAAGAUGUCAAUUCCUACCCACUAUUCAGACUGUCCGACCCAAGUCUGUCAGCCAGAUGAGCCCAACACGUUUUGGUUGAUAUCUCCUGUCCUGUUAGUCCUACAAUCGAAAUUCCGAUACAGACAGCCUUGCCCUACCAACUUGCCAUUUGGACUAUGAAGCCCCACCUACUUAGAUUUUUUGCUAAUUUGCAUAAUUUGGAAAUCCUACUUCUGCCUUAAAGUCUGACCAAAUCAGACAAAUGAGGUGUCAAACUGAUCAGUCCUCUGAGCUGAUGAACAUAUAUAAAAAAGCAUGAUAUUUCUGUAUGAUACGGCCAUCAGCCAUGACCAAAUUUGAAAUGCUAACCCCAUGUUCCAUUCUGGGGACACCAAACAAAGCGGGCUGCAUUUAGUCAAUAGGGGGCGCUACAAAUGCCUACUUCCAAUAUCUCCUGAACUGCUUUGCCUAUCCAAAGGAAAUUUGGCACAUGUGUACUAUGGCCAAACCUGAGGUCAGACCCGUAAUAUGACAGUCAUAAGUCAUACAAUGGUGGCCAUAAUUAGCCAAUGAAAAUCAAGCAUGCAUUUCACAGGCCUAGCAAUCACCAAUCUCAACUAAAUCUGGAUGAUCCAUGUGACUACAGACCCUGACCUCACCCUGGUAAGAGCACCAUAGUCUGCCAGAUGAGAGCGCUACAGCAACAACUUUUGCCGUUUCUGCCUAUUUCUCCAGAACUGUCAAGCGUACAGUUGACAUUUAUUGCCAAGCCAAUUCAGUAUGUCAAGCCAAAUCAAACAACAUGUAGAACUUAGUUCUCCAUAUUUGCACUUUUGCAUGAUUUAGGUAGGUCUGAUAACAGGACUUUUCGUUAACCUCCUAGAAUUUUCAUCCAACCUACAUGAAUCUGGUAUCAUUCAAAUCAGGAGACCGUCCUCAUAAAUAAUUACUCAAAAAAUCCUAAAGUUUCUGUAAAGUACGGCAACCAGCCAUACUCACACCAUACAGGUGGCACGCCCAUUUCAAUCAGACAGCUGUAUCUCAGGCCUGUCUCAGCCAAUCACUACCAAACUUGAAUAAAUCCUGUUAGGACAGUAGUGGGGGUAGGCCCUCCAAAUCUGGUGCCAAACGGUCAAACGGGGGUGGCACAGCAAUUUAACAUGUGUCUCUAAACCUGCAAAAUCAGUGAAACUGACAUUUUCCUCAUUCUGUUCUACUGACAUAUUAAUAGUCAAAAUCCUUUGUACUGCAAGUUCUGUGAGUCCUGCCAAAUCAAGAUAUAUGUACUGUCCAAUGACAGUGAUUUGCAUCCCGUCAUGAUGUUUAAAAACUCAAUAAAUGCCAUAUUCCUACAAUGUACACCCCAGCUAGGUCAUUCUGGUCUCAGGUCAAUUAUGACACUGCCCUUAUGGAUGAUUCAUAAAAAUAACUUGACCUGCCUGUACAGUAUGGCCACCAGCCACAACCAACCCUGCACCAUUUCCAUACUCAUUUCAAUCAGGUGUCUUUAUCUCAGGCAUGCUUCAACCAAUCCUCACCAAAUUUGACCGACUAAUGUAGCACGAGACCACAAACAGACCCUCCAUGUUUGGUGCCAAUCGGUCAAACAGAGGCGCUAAGGCCACUGUCUAUAAAUGUCUAACACCCACCAUAGCAAAUUCAGCUGAAAUGUCCUUAUUUCUCAUAGAACCUUCAAUGAUACUUCAGGCUGUGUACACUGCAGCAAUUGGAAUUUUUAAAUAAAUUGGCCAGCAGGUGGAGUCAGUGCACCAUUUAUAAAAUUCAAUUCAAUACUAUCAGCCGUCCUCUUGUCUAAAUGAACAGCCUAGAACAGGAUACAGCAUGAUAUUACUGCUGUUACAUGCAGCAGUCCCGCAACUCAGCACUUUGUUAAUAAUAUACAACACAGCCUAUGUUUACACAAGCAGUAUAAACAAAGCAACCCUGUAAGAUGUAGACUUAUCAGACCAGGUAUGAAGGUGCCUAAAUCUACCAACUAGUCAGACCAUCAGACGCCUAACCAUGCAUUCAGUCAAGCUCAGGCACUCCACCACUGGGUUCUACAUUCUGUCCUACAUUUGCUGAUCUUUUAGACCAACACUCAACAAUCUCCAUCCUCAUUUCUACCUACUAUUCAGACUAUCUGACCCAAACAAGUCCUGUUCUGUCGGACAUCUGCUGACCUAUAGUUCUGUUUGACUUUCUAGUACGCUCCUCUACUGUUUGUCCUACCAAGACGACCAUCUUACGCUUUGGACCCGUUCCUUACAGCCUGCAGUUAUAUUUUGAUUUGUGUUUUUACUAUCAUUCUUUAUAUUAGGUCUUGACAAUCAGUAGGUUAAGAUAUGCAUUGUUGUCAUGACCUCGAGAGGUUCUGGCAUGGGGGCGAGGGAUUUAUUAACAAAAACCAAAAACACGGAGAACACUACAAAACAAAAAGGACCACUAAAGUAACUAAGAGAACAAAAUGAUCUACAAAGUGAAACUAGCUGCACAGGAACAGGCAGGGAUUAAAAACAUCAGAAACCACUGGCAGAAAGAACAUCAGCAGCACCAAGAACAAUAGCAACAGCAAGAACAUCAGCAGCACCAAGAACAUCAGCAGCACCAAGAACAUCAGCAGCACCAAGAACAUCAGUAAGAACAUCAACAUCAGCAAGAACAUCAUCAGCAGCAAAGAACAUCACCAAGAAGAUUAGCAGCAGCAAGAACAUCAGCAGCAACAAAGAACAUCAGCAGCAGCAAAAACAUCUGCAGUAGCAAAGAACAUCAGCAAGAAAAUCAGCAGCAGCAAGAACAUCAGCAGCAACAAGAACAUCCGCAGCAGCAAAGAACAUCAUCAGCAGCAAAUAACAUCAGCAAGAAGAUCAGCAGUAGCAAAUAACAUCAGCACAGAACAUCCGCAGCAACAAAGAACAUCAGCAAGAAGAUCAGCAGCAGCAAAUAACAUCAGCACAGAACAUCAGCAGCAACAAAGAACAUCAGCAAGAAAAUCAACAGCAGCAAGAACAUCCGCAGCAGCAAAUAACAUCAGUAAGAUCAACAGCAGCAAAUAACAUCAGCACAGAACAUGAGCAGCAGCAAAGAACAUCAGCAAGAACAUCAGCAGCAGCAAGAACAUCAGCAGCAGCAAGAACAUCAGCAGCAACAACAAAUAUAUUAGUGAUUUUAUUUUUUAUCAUCUUAUUUUUUAUCUUUAUAUUUUUUAUCAUUUUUUUUUCUCUUAGCUUAUUUGAAUUAUUUUAAUUUAUUUCAUAUUAUCAUUCUUCUUAUCAGGUCUUUCCUUUUUGAUUAAUAAAAAUAUGGGAGGAAUCCACUGAAAUAUAGGGACAGCAAGUCCAUGCACACAAUGUUGGGGUCGGUAAGGAUCCCGUGAUAUUGCAGCUGCAAAGUAAAAUCACUAGAUACUAAAACGCGGCAGCGGAGCCCCAGACAUUCACCAUGUCCAACUGAACUUUUCUAAGACAAAGCAGAACAUUUGGUACUCAAUCAGACGAAAUACGCCAAAGAUACAACUUCGUUUGUCUUCAUUGGCUCCAUAUAUAUAGGCGCUUGCAACAUGAUUAGUUUAAUGAAACAGCACCUACCGGCAUUCGAUCCCUCGAUGGUCAGCAUGCCAAACUCACCCGCUGAUCCUAAUGUCUUCUGUUUGAGUCCAAUGUCCCGAUCCAGUCAUGGAUAUAGCCCACAGCACAGCUCACAUACUUUUUCCAUCUUCAUCCGAUCCGUUCAAAACUAAGAAGUCUGGUAUUCAGUUAGCCCAAAUGCUCCAAUGAUACACCGUACCUUGUCUCUCUUCACUGGCUCUCUGUAGAUGCUGGCACCAAGUUCAGAGUAAUGGAAUAGCACCUAACUAUAAGUACUUCCACCCACCUACUGUACGUCCUGUCCCUCUGUGGCCAGAGGACAGAGUGACGUAGAAGUUCUAGAACUGCGUCAACACAGCUGCCCGUCAUAUCGCGAUUAAACCCGAUAGCCAAUGAGAAACGGGAUUACGUAAGUACAGGGUAAACUUGCAAAACAAACACGUUUCACCGCCCUUUCAAAUAAAAACGGAAAUGCGGUCCACAUGUAAGUUUAUUUUACCACUGCUUUGACCACGCAAUUAUUAGCUAAAUAUAAACAUGGGUCGCUUAGAGAUUUACAAAAAAGCUGUAGUAACUGGUAAAAGUAAUUUUCGUAGCAGCAGCUAGUCGCCUUACUAAUCGUUACCUCCCACUUAUUUUCAUCUAUUUACUAUUUUGCAUAAAAAGAGAGAUCGGAAUCAUUUGAAACUAAGCAUCCAAUCAGAAUCCCCCGGUCCCACUCUGUGUUCCGGUGUCUUGUAUUUCCUAAGUCCCGUAUUUCUUUAGAUUGAAGGUAACAUCCCUACUAAUAGUAAUUGUUCUGUUAUCAUUGUAUUACAUUGAAUUAAUUAGAAUAUAUUAGCUGUGAAAGUUUAUUCCUUUGCUCUUUAGACGUCUAAUUCAAAACAAUGCGCCUGCGAAUAGGUCCUUGUUUAAUGAUGUCAUGGGUAGGAGCUCAAAUUGUUGUAGUCACGACGUAGGGACUCGAGUUGUCCGUCUUUUACAGCUUGUUAGUCUUUGAAGGGAUUAUUUGUAUCGUAGCGCCGGCUGGGCGCAUGUCCCAGCAUGCCUCGCAUGCAAGUUGUAAGUAGCCCUUGUUUUGUCGUUAUUGUUAAUGUUACUGGUUACAUUUCCUUAAUGUUGCGCUUGUGUGUUGCAUCCUCGUGUGUAAUUAAUUUACGUAAAUCUUCCAGCACGCGUCUUACAGUUCGGUGUCUGGCAACCUUAUGUUUCGUGUAUGUAAUUGAUUGGAUGCGCUUUGCUUGUCUGAUAUGGUUCUUUUCAGGGCGACUAAUGUAGAGCGUUUUCUCUCCGCCCGGCGAGUCUCCGUGGUUCUUUCUGCUUCUGCAUUGCAUCGCUUUUCCAGCACUGGAAUGAAAAUGAUGCAAAACUUAAUUAAAGCAGAUGUUCAGUGAACAGCUGUUGCCAUCCCACCAGCAGGGGGCAGGGCUGCCCCUCAUCAUAUCAAGCAAUGCAGUGUGAGGCUUCCUAUGCAGCUUGCGUGCUCCCUCCCUCUCCCCCUUGGCUUUGUUCAGCCAUUUACUUUGUGUUUCUGUGGCUGUGUGUUUUGCUUCUUUCAGCUGGUUUUAGGAUCUAAACUGGUCAAAGACCAUGGUAUGGCUGCUUAAGAAAGCUCACCAAAGCCUACUCUUUAUGUGGAGGCUGAAGAAAUUUGGCAUGUUGCUGACAGUCCUAGGCAGCUUCUACAGGUGCACAGUGGAGAGCAUAUUAAUCUGCUGCAUAGCUGCGUGCUUUGGCAGCUGCGCUGGACAGGACAGACAGGCACUGCAGUGGGUGAUCAUGUUAGCUCAGAAAAUCACAGGGUUAGGUCUCCCUUCACUGCAGGACAUCUGUGACAGGAGAAUCUGCAGAUGGGCCAGCAGCAUUGUCAGCAGUCUCACCCACCUCACCCAACUAAUCGUCACUCUCAUGAAACCUGUACAGGAGUGUUAAUACCACAACACCCAGACUCCAGAACAGUCUGUACCCCCAGGCCAACAGAAGGAUCAAGGACUGCCACCCUCUGCCAGCUGUGCCCCCACCCCAGGCACCAUGGCAAUGAUCACCCAGCUUGCAGCACUCUGCACCUUACAUGCAUUUGUUGGAGUUUGUGUUAAGCAAAUAAAUGCCUUUUUCUUAAACCAA
Molecule: long non-coding RNA, 5978 nt
Organism: Brienomyrus brachyistius
Lineage: Eukaryota; Metazoa; Chordata; Actinopteri; Osteoglossiformes; Mormyridae
Exons: 2
Source: RefSeq, a predicted model, not a curated record